Molecule: ribosomal RNA, 933 nt
Filed under: Acidobacteriota bacterium
Lineage: Bacteria; Pseudomonadati; Acidobacteriota
Description: bacterial SSU rRNA
Rfam family: Bacterial small subunit ribosomal RNA
Source: RNAcentral
GAGAGUUUGAUCCCGGCUCAGAAUCAACGCUGGCGGCGCGCUUAACACAUGCAAGUCGAACGAGAAAGCGGGGGCAACCUCGCGAGUAAAGUGGCGUACGGGUGAGUAACACGUGGGUGAUCUACCCUUUAGUGGGGAAUAACGCUGGGAAACCGGCGCUAAUACCGCAUAAUCCCGAGAGGGGAAAGUUGAAAGACGCUGAAGGAGGAGCCCGCGGCCGAUUAGUUAGUUGGUGGGGUAAAGGCCUACCAAGGCGAAGAUCGGUAGCCGGCCUGAGAGGGCACACGGCCACACUGGCACUGAAACACGGGCCAGACUCCUACGGGAGGCAGCAGUGGGGAAUCUUGCACAAUGGGGGCAACCCUGAUGCAGCGACGCCGCGUGAGCGAUGAAGCCCUUCGGGGUGUAAAGCUCUUUCGGCAGGAACGAUAAUGACGGUACCUGCAAAAGAAGCUGCGGCUAACUACGUGCCAGCAGCCGCGGUAAUACGUAGGCAGCAAGCGUUGUUCGGAGUUACUGGGCGUAAAGAGUAUGUAGGCGGUUUGCCAAGUCCGGCGUGAAAUCUCCCGGCUCAACUGGGAGGGUGCGCCGGAUACUGGUAGGCUAGAGUGCGGGAGAGGAGAGCGGAAUUCCUGGUGUAGCGGUGAAAUGCGUAGAUAUCAGGAGGAACACCUGCGGUGUAGACGGCUCUCUGGACCGCCACUGACGCUGAGAUACGAAAGCGUGGGUAGCAAACAGGAUUAGAUACCCUGGUAGUCCACGCCCUAAACGAUGCACACUUGGUGUGGGCAGUUCAUUCUGUCCGUGCCGUAGUUAACGCGUUAAGUGUGCCGCCUGGGGAGUACGGUCGCAAGGCUGAAACUCAAAGGAAUUGACGGGGGCCCGCACAAGCGGUGGAGCAUGUGGUUCAAUUCGACGCAACGCGAAGAACCU